This is a non-coding RNA of Schizosaccharomyces pombe (fission yeast), 1488 nucleotides long. The record is from the annotation of a GenBank genome assembly. NCBI's taxonomy places the organism in Eukaryota, Fungi, Ascomycota, Schizosaccharomycetes, Schizosaccharomycetales, Schizosaccharomycetaceae.
AUUUUUUUUUAAAAUUCAGUGAGGUCAAUUAUAACAGCCACUUUACGAAAUACUGUACUGUUCCAACACUGGUUUUUUUUUAAAAGCAAAGAUUGAGAUAUCGCUAACAAGCUUCUCAAAUAAUUAAAAGAAAAGUAAUUUGCAAAAGUUUUAAGAAAAAUCAGACUCGAAAUUUUGUUAUUAUAUAACCGGUGUUCCCGGGUGCUUGAACCCGGUUGAUGAAUAAAAAUGUGUCUCACACGUUGGUGGCAGAAAAAGGCAAUCUGACAUAAAACGGGUGUUUGUUAAAUCAGAAGAGCUCAAAUUAUCGUGGACGAUGGAAAUUUAGCUCGAUUUAGGCACUUAAUGGGUGAGAAAUACUUUUAUAUGCCAAAUCAACCUAAGGCGAAUGAGGAAAUUUUAGCAUCAUUUUAAGCUCGGUGCUUAGCGAAAAUAGUCAACAAUUUAACUAUCGUAUAUGUACAUUAGGUGAAUACAUAGGCUGUUAAUCCAAUAUAUAUUAAUAACCUUAUAAUACAAAUAAUUAUUUCUCUUUUUAAUAAUUUACUUGAUUGAACUGAAUCUGCAACAGCGUAAGCUAUCUCGAAUUCUACAAGGGCAGCUUUGGUUUCAUAUAGGGCAGCAGGUAUCCAUUACCGGUACGCCGUUCUGUGAUUUGCAAUUUUGGAGUACCAUCACAAUGUGGAAAAAGAUAAAAAGUUUAGGUGGAAUGCAAGUAGGCGACAAUUUAUGUCGGAUACUGGUGAUACAGGGAGACUGAGUCAGUGCAACCUAGUUCCUUGUGUUAAAUGUACAUUUGUCAUCACGUGGCACCACGUUUUAUGUAAAACAUUUAGUCAAUUUAUUUCUAGCAUGUGCGGGUUUGUGGAUAUCCCAUUUAAGUAAAAGAAGACGUUUACAUGAACACAAAAUGUUGUGAUCUUAUGCUAACUUUAAAAGAUUAUGGAUGUCAAGAAAACUAGUACUAAAUCAAUUUUCAAGUUCUCACUAUUUAAAGCGUUUGAGAUCUCAGCUCCUUUUUCUAUCCUCUUAAUGUAGGAAAACUUAAGUGUCAGUAGAAAACAUCACAUUCAAAUUCAUAAAUGGCACCAGUAUUUAAGUGCCCACUUUUUUGAAGAAAAAGCACAAAAUGUUUCCUUAAAAGUCCUUACUACCAAAAUAGAAAUAUCGCAUGUUUGAUACACACUUUCGUAACGUUUACCAUCACCACUUGUGCAAAUCCAGCAAAAUCAAUUUCACCCCACUUUUCCAUAUUCUUUCAAGUAUUUACUUUAACUACUUUACAACAAAUUCCAAAAACUUGAUACCUCUGUUAUAAGAGCACGCCUACAUGUCGACUACAUCCUUACUUAAGAUUCAAACGUACUGUAUUCAGUUAUACACAAAACAUUCAUCGAAUAAUACCUGAAAACCCAUUUAUAAGUAUUUUCAUUAGAUUCUAAUAUUAACAAAAACGCCAUCACAUAGCAAAAUAUAUCAACUUGUUAC